GCAGGUAUGCAUAGCAACCGGCUUGCGCUCCUUAGAAAGUGACAUAUUGGUUGUUUAUCCAUAAUUGGGAUAACAUCAAUACACGAUGAAACAAUAAAAGAAUUAUUGCACCAUACUGGGAGACAAAAUGUUGCAAAUGAUUGAAAAGGACAAAACGCCAAGCAGAGCAGAGGAUAGCAAGAGACAUCUAACUACGAAGGCUGCCGAAAGUAAACUGACGCUUUACCAAUUGGGUGGGGGACUGGGGGUACCUCCCAUGUGGUACUUAUAUAGUAGUUAACUACUGUAAGGUGAGGUUGGUGAAUACUGACAAAGGGAAACACAGACCAAAUGCUCUGGUACACAAACUAUCUCAAAUUUUGCACUGAAACUCACCGCCAACACAGCAGCUAUCUUGUCAACAACAUGUGAUCAACAGGCUCCCACCAUCACAUCGUCUGUAUUUAUAGGGGCAACUGGUAUCUGGCCUAUCAAUCGCAACAUCUUCCCAUAUGAUGCAUUUGUAGGAGCACAGUUAACAGAGCAACCAGCACCACCUUUGAACUUUGCAGUAGAAGUUACUCCAACUUCUUCUGAUGAAGAGGACUGCGUGGCUGAAGGUUAUAACUCAGAAGUAGUGGACCCUCCUGGUCCAUUUCCCAUGCAUCCAGAUGAUGACCUGUCCCCUGCUGAUGUGAUGGUGGAACCCUGCUGGCAUCUCCAAUGACCCUGCCAGCCCAGGCCCUAGCUGCUCAACUAGUCAUUCGCAACACGUCACCCCAGAAAGUGUCAGGCUGUUCCCCAACGCAGCUCCUCAUCCUUAUGGGAAACACAUAAGGUGGUACGGCCCUGCAUUCUUACCGAGAAUGAGGAGGCCAUCGCAUAUCUGAGAGUGAAGGCAGAGAAGAGGAAGACAGAGAAGAAAAAGAAGGCAUCAGCUGAAAAGAAGUGCUCAAGUCACAGGAAGUCUGUCCCUGUAGUAGAGGAUGAUAGUGAGGAGGAAGAUGCUACUACUACUAUUCCUUUGCUGUUCAAUGACUCCUCAGAGUAUUACUUUUUUGCUGAGAAGGCAUCAGAGGUGAGGAACUUCGUACUCGUUGAAAUGUAGCUGGGCGAGGGAAGGAACGUGGGCUCAUUGGUGUGCUACAUUGCCCAGGUCUUGGCCAUCAUGGAGGAUGGAGUUUCAUCUUUCUUUCCUGGCAUGAAGUCCGCUUUCUUCAAGGACACCUUUACCUUUCCUACCAUUGUAGAUGAAGCAUCUGUCAAGCCAGAGCAGUGUAAGGGUGUCCUGGUAACGACCAAGCAUGCCACCAUGAGGCAGGCUGACCUGGUUAAGGUUUACCCCUCCCUCCCCGAUUGCCUUCAACAUGCACGUCUAAUCCUGUAGUAGCAUACAGGCUAAGGUGUUACAGUGUACAUAGUUUUUUCUAUUAAUUUUCAUAUGUUUAUACUGUGAUUUAAGGCUAUCUUAGUUAAGUUCGUUUUUGUCAAAUAAAUGUUUUUUUAUUU
Macrobrachium nipponense is the source of this 1488-nucleotide long non-coding RNA. RefSeq lists it as uncharacterized. The record is from RefSeq and is a predicted model, not a curated record. The transcript has 3 exons. NCBI's taxonomy places the organism in Eukaryota, Metazoa, Arthropoda, Malacostraca, Decapoda, Palaemonidae.